UACGAGUGCCUCAAGCGUUAUCCGGAAUUAUUGGGCGUAAAGGGUGUGUAGGCUGUUAUAUUAGUCCCGUGUUAAAACCUUCGGCUCAACCGAAGAUCUGCAUGGGAGACGGUAUAACUCGAGGAUGCGAGAGGUGAAUGGAACUCAUAGUGUAGGGGUGAAAUCCGUUGAUAUUAUGGGGAACACCAAAUGCGAAGGCAAUUCACUGGCGCACUCCUGACGCUGAAACACGAAAGCGUAGGUAGCGAAUGGG
Molecule: ribosomal RNA, 253 nt
Filed under: uncultured bacterium
Lineage: Bacteria
Description: partial 16S ribosomal RNA
Rfam family: Bacterial small subunit ribosomal RNA
Source: RNAcentral